CAGCAGCCGCGGGAAUACGAAGGGUGCAAGCGUUAAUCGGAAUUACUGGGCGUAAAGCGUGCGUAGGCGGUUUGUUAAGUCUGCUGUGAAAUCCCCGGGCUCAACCUGGGAAUGGCAGUGGAUACUGGCAAGCUAGAGUGUGUCAGAGGAUGGUGGAAUUCCCGGUGUAGCGGCGAAAUGCGUAGAGAUCGGGAGGAACAUCAGUGGCGAAGGCGGCCAUCUGGGACAACACUGACGCUGAGGCACGAAAGCGUGGGGAGCAAACAGGAUUAGAUACCCGAGUAGUCCCUGUCUCUUAUAC
Molecule: ribosomal RNA, 301 nt
Filed under: uncultured bacterium
Lineage: Bacteria
Description: partial 16S ribosomal RNA
Rfam family: Bacterial small subunit ribosomal RNA
Source: RNAcentral